Molecule: ribosomal RNA, 938 nt
Filed under: Helicascus nypae
Lineage: Eukaryota; Fungi; Ascomycota; Dothideomycetes; Pleosporales; Morosphaeriaceae
Description: SSU rRNA
Rfam family: Eukaryotic small subunit ribosomal RNA
Source: RNAcentral
UCUAAGUAUAAGCAAUUAUACCGUGAAACUGCGAAUGGCUCAUUAAAUCAGUUAUCGUUUAUUUGAUAGUACCUUACUACUUGGAUAACCGUGGUAAUUCUAGAGCUAAUACAUGCUGAAAACCUCGACUUCGGAAGAGGUGUAUUUAUUAGAUAAAAAACCAAUGCCCUUCGGGGCUCCCUGGUGAUUCAUGAUAACUUCUCAGAUCGCAUGGCCUUGCGCCGGCGACGGUUCAUUCAAAUUUCUGCCCUAUCAACUUUCGAUGGUAAGGUAUUGGCUUACCAUGGUUUCAACGGGUAACGGGGAAUUAGGGUUCGAUUCCGGAGAAGGGGCCCGAGAAACGGCCACUACAUCCAAGGAAGGCAGCAGGCGCGCAAAUUACCCAAUCCCGAUACGGGAGGUAGUGGCAAUAAAUACUGAUACAGGGCUCUUUUGGGGCUUGUAAUUGGAAUGAGUCCAAUUUAAACCUCUUAACGAGGACCAAUUGGAGGGCAAGUCUGGUGCCAGCAGCCGCGGUAAUUCCAGCUCCAAUAGCGUAUAUUAAAGUUGUUGCAGUUAAAAAGCUCGUAGUUGAACCUUGGGCCUGGUGGCAGGUCCGCCUCACCGCGUGUACUUGACCGGCCGGGCCUUCUCUUCUGGAGAACCUCAUGCCCUUUACUGGGCGUGUUGGGGACCAGGACUUUUACUUUGAAAAAAUUAGAGUGUUCAAAGCAGGCCUUUGCUCGAAUAUGUUAGCAUGGAAUAAUAGAAUAGGACGUGCGGUCCUAUUUUGUUGGUUUCUAGGACCGCCGUAAUGAUUAAUAGGGACAGUCGGGGGCAUCAGUAUUCAAUUGUCAGAGGUGAAAUUCUUGGAUUAAUUGAAGACUAACUACUGCGAAGCAUUUGCCAAGGAUGUUUCAUUAAUCAGUGAACGAAAGUAAGGGGAUCGAAGACGAUCA